Molecule: unclassified non-coding RNA, 426 nt
Filed under: Hevea brasiliensis (rubber tree)
Lineage: Eukaryota; Viridiplantae; Streptophyta; Magnoliopsida; Malpighiales; Euphorbiaceae
Source: RNAcentral
UAUAUAUAUAUAUAUAUAUAUGUGGAAUAGUUGUAAAGGUAACCAGUUUAAGGGAGAGACUCCUAGUUUCUUCCAGUUGUAAGUUUUAUUAAUUUUUUCAGUAAUUUCAUUACUCCUUUGCCAUGAGGAUUUUUCUGCUCUUAUUGAAACCAUGUCAAUGGGGGAUUAUUGAAUUUUACAUUGGCUGUUAACCUACUUUAACCCUCUACCUUUAUCCAGCUUUGUUAAAGAGGAAGGACUGGAGAAGUGUGUUAGUAGCCAAUAAGUUAAAGAAAAUGUUGGGUUUGAUGAGUUUUUAUUUCUUGUAGUGAUGUUGUUUGUAGUUCUCGGAUUGGUGAUUGACUCCUUUAUAGCCUGUAACUAGAAGAAAUGUGAGGUCAGUAGAUUGAGUAGUGUCACUCCGAUGCUCAAGUCAGUAAAUGUCUG